Molecule: ribosomal RNA, 515 nt
Filed under: Paracorniculantispora psalliotae
Lineage: Eukaryota; Fungi; Ascomycota; Sordariomycetes; Hypocreales; Cordycipitaceae
Description: Lecanicillium psalliotae partial large subunit ribosomal RNA
Rfam family: Eukaryotic large subunit ribosomal RNA
Source: RNAcentral
GCUCAAAUUUGAAAUCUGGCCUUCGGGUCCGAGUUGUAAUUUGUAGAGGAUGCUUUUGGCGAGGUGCCUUCCGAGUUCCCUGGAACGGGACGCCAUAGAGGGUGAGAGCCCCGUCUGGUCGGAUACCAAGCCUCUGUAAAGCUCCUUCGACGAGUCGAGUAGUUUGGGAAUGCUGCUCAAAAUGGGAGGUAUAUGUCUUCUAAAGCUAAAUAUUGGCCAGAGACCGAUAGCGCACAAGUAGAGUGAUCGAAAGAUGAAAAGCACUUUGAAAAGAGGGUUAAAAAGUACGUGAAAUUGUUGAAAGGGAAGCGCCUAUGACCAGACUUGGGCCCGGUGAAUCAUCCAGCGUUCUCGCUGGUGCACUUUGCCGGGCACAGGCCAGCAUCAGUUUGGCGCGGGGGAUAAAGGCUUUGGGAAUGUGGCUCCCUCGGGAGUGUUAUAACCCAUUGCGCAAUACCCUGCGCCGGACUGAGGUACGCGCAUCGCAAGGAUGCUGGCGUAAUGGUCAUCAGCGA